CCCAGGCACAAAGAAAGUGGAACUGUUGGCUGAAACAUCAAUGCAGGCCAUAGAGCCCAUCCAGGUACCUCCCAGGAGGAAAUGACCAUGGAAACAAAAGGGGUAAGUGUGGCUUUGCCCCCAGAUAUUCAAUUUAUUUAGGGAAUAAAAAGUAUGGAAAUGCUUUUUAUUAUGCUGGAAAAGUAUGAAAUCCCUGAAAAUGAAUCCAGCUGGGCAUGGAGAAUAUAGAAGCCAUGGAGAGACAGUUGAUAGAGGACUUUAGGAAAACCAGUGUCCAGAAAAGGACAAAUGUAUUUGUGCCAUGGGUGUGACAGCAAAACUCACAGAGUGAGAGCAGGGGAUACAGUCAAAGCUGCCAGCCCCAUCAGGGCCUCACCUUGUCACUGAUAAAGACACUCCCAGGGCAAUUUAUCCCUGGAUAAAUUUAUCCCAAAAUAUCAAAUCCCCAGAUUUGAUACCAGCCCUUUUAGCAGUUUGAAUAACUAAGGAAUGAAUCCACAAGGGAGGAGGAGAAAAACCCAUCCAAGGUCUGCAGAACAGAGAGUGGAAAAUAAAGCAUCCAACAAAGAUUUCUGCUCUGGCCCUGUAUUUUGAUUUGCAGAGGCUGAAGGGACAUGUUUGCCAAAAAAAAUUGGGCAACAAGGUUUGCACAUCUUUGCCAGUGUUGGGAUUUGGACAAUUCCCAGCUCUCCCUCAGACUGGACCCUUCUCCAGGUGCACAGGACCUUGCUCAUGCAAAGAUUCUCACCAGCACUCAGCAAAAAAGAGUCAGGAAUCCACUAAGGGCAGCCCUGGCACAACUUUGGAAGAGCCAGGACCAGUGAAUAUCUGGCUGUGGCUGAAGAUGAGAACCAGGAAUGGGACAUUCAUGUGCCUGCCCACUGGUUUUUGCUGUUUUCUUGGUUCCUGUCAGCAGCUUCUGGCACGUGCCAUGCUGGAGGGGGAAAAGAAAAAGGAAAACUAAAGUGGAGUUUCUCGUUUAGCCGGUCUCCAAGCAAGGCAGGGGACUCAGAACCGGGCAGCUGAUGGGAUGUGAGGUUUGGGAUCCCCAGUGAAACACUUCAUUUUCCCCUCUCCAAUGUUAUCACUGCCUCCUCUCACUGCCCAGGGGCUUUUAUUGACCUUGCUGCCCCAAAGGUGGCUGCUGCCUCCUGCAGAGCUGCAGGAUAAGGCCAUCCACAAAUUCAGUGAAGAAGGCUGCAAGAAUCUGCUGGUGGAAAAAUGUAUUUCCCUCCUCUAUUUCUUGGAGCCUGGAUUUUGAUUUUGAUUUUAUUAAAAAAGCUUUUCCUUCACCUCCAAGGCCAAAAGGCAUUUUCCUGCUCAAAACCAAAGAAAGCCCCUUUCCAAGCAGGCUGUUGUCCUGUUUGCUAUUCCCAGCAAACCUGGAGGAUAAUCCCAGUGACAAACACUGGCAGGACACUUCUGUUCCUGCUUAAACUGAGCUAGAAAUGUUCAAUAUCUUGAACUCUUCUCGAAACCUCUCAAAAGAUGCCACUUCUAAGGAGAUCCGAAGGAUGUACUGGAGCAGAUAUGGGCUGUGGAAUUUACUUGUUACACAAAGAGGUCUCUGCAUGGAGAGCACAAGUGUUUUUACUCCAAGAUUCUUGGCAAAAUUUAAUCUGAUUUAUUAAGUCACUGUGCAUUCCAGGUAUGUAACCUGUGGAAUUUCUCAAGAGAAGGCUGCUGCUGUUGUUAAACCUGUCGUGUUGAUAAAUCCUGCGGAGCUGCAGUUUUUAACCUCUCCGGUUUGGGGUUUUUAAAAUGCACAUUUUCCGUCUUCUUCCCAACCCCAAUGGACAUUUACACCCUCCCUUUACCCCCACAUCCAAGGGGAUAAACACAACGGGUUCCCUGGGAGAUGCCACCAAAGGACACAGAGCACCAGGAAGGAUCUCAGACCCUUCUCAGCUCUUCUGAGCCAUUCCUUGGUGUUGAGAGGUCUGUGCCUGCCAUUUCACAGGCAGCAAAGCACAACCACUGCAGAGACCAGCAGGGCAAACAGGAUUUAUGGUGAAGGGAACUCCUAAGCAAAAUAAUCCGAAGGAGUAGCUGUCUGGAGAGCACUUGGCGAAGGUGACCCCUUAAGUUUUAAGUUUUUCUGGUCUGCUUUGGUGUGCAGCUUUAUAUUAAGGGUUAUUAGGAUCUUUUCACAGGGUGAUAAAGACAAAACAAUCUUAUUCCAGCUGGGGACUUGAGGACAAUCUCUUCAAACUUCAGUUCCAAAGCUUAAACAACAUAAAAAAGAGGAGGGCAGGCAAGCGAGCAAGGAGGAUGAAACUUCAUGAUUUGAGGCUAUUAAUUGGACAUUUGACUUCUGUAUGCAAAUGGCCCAAAACCUAUAAAAAUGUGGAUGACCUCAUGACCAAGCCCACUUUUGCUUCCAUCUUGGAGCCAUCUAGGCAGAGCCACCACUGUGGCCCUGGUGCUGCCAGGGCGUGGCCUUUGAAGGCCUCUCGAUAAAUAUUCACUUUAUUCCUCCUAACUCUGUCCAGCCUCUGCUCCAGCUUCUCAAGGCAUGCACAGCCUGAGCAGAACUUGCCUUCCUACCACCAGGUGAAGUCAUCCAUCAGCCUUUGAGUGCUUUCAAAAAUUCCACUCAGUGCAGCAAACCCCAUAAAUCCUGAUUGAGCUGCCAGGCCAAGCACUUUGAAUGCUUCCAAUUCCUGCUGCCUCUCCAAGAGCUUCUCCAGCCGAGCUGUUGCCUGUGGCUGGGCAUUCCCAGCACAGGGACACGGCAGGACUCCUAAUUCAGGCAGAGAUGUCCCCCUGCACCACCCCAGCCUCACACCUGGGAGCACUUUUGUGCAUUUAUUCCCCAAAAUUAGGGGUUUGAGGAGGACAAACCCCCAACACUGAGCAAGGUGCUACUCUCAGGCCCCUCAGUGGUGCCUGGCAGAGGAGCCACUGUGGAGCUGCAGUAGCUCUCAUCAGCUGGCAGACCUUCCACCUCCAACAGCUUCACCAGUCCUCAGCAGACAGGAUGGGAAAGGAUCUCAGGGAUGAUCCAUCUUCUCCAAAUGCAGCUCCAGCUGGCCUGGACCACCUCAUUCCCUUCACCUCUUCUAAAAACUUCUGGUUGUGGAGACUUCCAUACAACUCCAGGCUUGCUUUUGGUGGAGAUUUCUUUUCUCUCCACAUCCAAGCCAGGCUGAUUUGGGGAUAUUUGAGAGCAUUUUGCAGCCUCACCCCUCCCUCAGUUCAUUAAUCAGUUCAAAUGAGAACUGAUUAAUGGGCUAGAGGAGCUCAGACUGGCUCAUGCCUUGGAUUUCCAGUUGAUCUGAGAAGCUGCUGAGCACCCACAGGUGAUCCUGGAUUCCUGGGGAUGCUCAGCACCACUGAAAAUGAACCCUGCUUCUGCCUCCUGAUUGUAACCUGGAAGAGGAAUUCUACAAAAUGAAAGAUUUAUGAGAAAAUAUCACCCCAGCAGGAUGCACAGCGUGAGAGCAGGCCUGGAAUGGGGAUAGGAAAAGUCAUCCCAGGACAGAGGGAGGAGAAUAAAGGUACAGGAAGAGUUAAUAAUUCA
Parus major (Great Tit) is the source of this 3523-nucleotide long non-coding RNA. Lineage: Eukaryota; Metazoa; Chordata; Aves; Passeriformes; Paridae. The record is from Ensembl.